This 578-nucleotide ribosomal RNA is filed under the name Onygenales sp. BC8. RNAcentral's name for it is "eukaryotic LSU rRNA". The stretch from base 216 to 369 matches the Rfam family "5.8S ribosomal RNA". The record is from RNAcentral. Lineage: Eukaryota; Fungi; Ascomycota; Eurotiomycetes.
AGGUUUCCGUAGGUGAACCUGCGGAAGGAUCAUUAAAUGUUAUAGCAACCCUCUGGCUGAAAAUGCCAGGGGGCACAACUAUACCACCCUUUGUUUAUUACACCUUUGUUGCUUUGGUAGGCCAGUCCUCGGACUGCUGGCUUCGGCCGGACAGCGCCUGCCAGAGGACCUAAACUCUGUUUGUCUAUAAUGUCUGAGUACUAUAUAAUAGUUAAAACUUUCAACAACGGAUCUCUUGGUUCUGGCAUCGAUGAAGAACGCAGCGAAAUGCGAUAAGUAAUGUGAAUUGCAGAAUUCAGUGAAUCAUCGAAUCUUUGAACGCACAUUGCACCCCCUGGUAUUCCGGGGGGUAUGCCUGUUCGAGCGUCAUUAACAACCCUCAAGCUCUGCUUGGUAUUGGGCCCCGCCGACCCGGCGAGCCCUAAAAUCAGUGGCGGUGCCAUCUGGUUCCGAGCGUAGUAAUUCUUCUCGCUUUGGAGGCCGGGUGUGUGCUUGCCAGCAACCCCCAAUUUUUUUAAGUUUGACCUCGGAUCAGGUAGGGAUACCCGCUGAACUUAAGCAUAUCAUUAAGCGGAGGA